AACGCAUAUUGCGCCCUUUGGUAUUCCGAAGGGCAUGCCUGUUCGAGCGUCAUUAACGACCGUCAAGCCUGGCUUGGUGUUUGGACGUCGGUCGUUGAGACCGCGUCCCAAAGACAAUGGCGGUGUCGAUUCAGUCCUCGGUGCAACGAGCUCCACGAGCACGCACCGCACGGGCUUAUCGGCGCCCGCCUAGACCCCUAAUUUUCUCAGGUUGACCUCGGAUCAGGUAGGUAUACCCGCUGAACUUAA
RNAcentral lists this unclassified non-coding RNA (249 nucleotides) under uncultured fungus. RNAcentral describes it as "sequence contains ITS2". The stretch from base 1 to 52 matches the Rfam family "5.8S ribosomal RNA", at positions 103 to 154 of the family's 154-position model. The record is from RNAcentral. Lineage: Eukaryota; Fungi.